This 1349-nucleotide ribosomal RNA is filed under the name uncultured bacterium. RNAcentral's name for it is "partial 16S ribosomal RNA". It matches the Rfam family "Bacterial small subunit ribosomal RNA", at positions 28 to 1381 of the family's 1533-position model. The record is from RNAcentral.
GACGAACGACUGUGCGGCGUGCUUAACACAUGCAAGUCGAACGGAAAGGCCCUGCUUUUGUGGGGUGCUCGAGUGGCGAACGGGUGAGUAACACGUGAGUAACCUGCCCUUGACUUUGGGAUAACUUCAGGAAACUGGGGCUAAUACCGGAUAGGAGCUCCUGCUGCAUGGUGGGGGUUGGAAAGUUUCGGCGGUUGGGGAUGGACUCGCGGCUUAUCAGCUUGUUGGUGGGGUAGUGGCUUACCAAGGCUUUGACGGGUAGCCGGCCUGAGAGGGUGACCGGCCACAUUGGGACUGAGAUACGGCCCAGACUCCUACGGGAGGCAGCAGUGGGGAAUAUUGCACAAUGGGCGGAAGCCUGAUGCAGCAACGCCGCGUGCGGGAUGACGGCCUUCGGGUUGUAAACCGCUUUCGCCUGUGACGAAGCGUGAGUGACGGUAAUGGGUAAAGAAGCACCGGCUAACUACGUGCCAGCAGCCGCGGUGAUACGUAGGGUGCGAGCGUUGUCCGGAUUUAUUGGGCGUAAAGGGCUCGUAGGUGGUUGAUCGCGUCGGAAGUGUAAUCUUGGGGCUUAACCCUGAGCGUGCUUUCGAUACGGGUUGACUUGAGGAAAGGUAGGGGAGAAUGGAAUUCCUGGUGGAGCGGUGGAAUGCGCAGAUAUCAGGAGGAACACCAGUGGCGAAGGCGGUUCUCUGGGCCUUUCCUGACGCUGAGGAGCGAAAGCGUGGGGAGCGAACAGGCUUAGAUACCCUGGUAGUCCACGCUGUAAACGGUGGGUACUAGGUGUGGGGUCCAUUCCACGGGUUCCGUGCCGUAGCUAACGCUUUAAGUACCCCGCCUGGGGAGUACGGCCGCAAGGCUAAAACUCAAAGGAAUUGACGGGGCCCCGCACAAGCGGCGGAGCAUGCGGAUUAAUUCGAUGCAACGCGUAGAACCUUACCUGGGUUUGACAUGGAUCGGGAGUGCUCAGAGAUGGGUGUGCCUCUUUUGGGGUCGGUUCACAGGUGGUGCAUGGCUGCCGUCAGCUCGUGUCGUGAGAUGUUGGGUUAAGUCCCGCAACGAGCGCAACCCUUGUUCACUGUUGCCAGCACGUUAUGGUGGGGACUCAGUGGAGACCGCCGGGGUCAACUCGGAGGAAGGUGGGGAUGACGUCAAGUCAUCAUGCCCCUUAUGUCCAGGGCUUCACGCAUGCUACAAUGGCUGGUACAGAGAGUGGCGAGCCUGUGAGGGUGAGCGAAUCUCGGAAAGCCGGUCUCAGUUCGGAUUGGGGUCUGCAACUCGACCUCAUGAAGUCGGAGUCGCUAGUAAUCGCAGAUCAGCAACGCUGCGGUGAAUACGUUCCCGGGGCU